UAAAAGUAGGAGGUUAAUUAUAAACAUUAAUUAUUCCAAUCUUAGUAGCUAUAGCCUUCCUUACCUUAAUUGAACGAAAAAUACUAGGAUACAUACAACUUCGCAAACUAUCUCAUACGAAGUAACGCUAGCAAUUAUCCUUCUCUCAGUUCUUCUAAUAAAUGACCCUAUCUACACUUAUCAUUACCCAACAAUUCACAUGACUUCUCUUUCCCACUUAUCAUUACCCAACAAUUCACAUGACUUCUAUUUCCAACAUGACCUCUCGCAAUAAUAUGAUUUAUUUCAACAUUAGCAGAAACCAACCG
This 308-nucleotide long non-coding RNA is filed under the name Marmota monax (woodchuck). Lineage: Eukaryota; Metazoa; Chordata; Mammalia; Rodentia; Sciuridae. The record is from RNAcentral.